This 1334-nucleotide ribosomal RNA is filed under the name Arthrobacter sp. CH5-1-8. RNAcentral describes it as "16S ribosomal RNA". It matches the Rfam family "Bacterial small subunit ribosomal RNA", at positions 90 to 1436 of the family's 1533-position model. Lineage: Bacteria; Bacillati; Actinomycetota; Actinomycetes; Micrococcales; Micrococcaceae. The record is from RNAcentral.
GAUUAGUGGCGAACGGGUGGGUAACACGUGAGUAACCUGCCCUUGACUCUGGGAUAAGCCUGGGAAACUGGGUCUAAUACCGGAUAUGACCUUCCAUCGCAUGGUGGUUGGUGGAAAGCUUUUGUGGUUUUGGAUGGACUCGCGGCCUAUCAGCUUGUUGGUGGGGUAAUGGCCUACCAAGGCGACGACGGGUAGCCGGCCUGAGAGGGUGACCGGCCACACUGGGACUGAGACACGGCCCAGACUCCUACGGGAGGCAGCAGUGGGGAAUAUUGCACAAUGGGCGCAAGCCUGAUGCAGCGACGCCGCGUGAGGGAUGACGGCCUUCGGGUUGUAAACCUCUUUCAGUAGGGAAGAAGCGUAAGUGACGGUACCUGCAGAAGAAGCGCCGGCUAACUACGUGCCAGCAGCCGCGGUAAUACGUAGGGCGCAAGCGUUAUCCGGAAUUAUUGGGCGUAAAGAGCUCGUAGGCGGUUUGUCGCGUCUGCCGUGAAAGUCCGGGGCUCAACUCCGGAUCUGCGGUGGGUACGGGCAGACUAGAGUGAUGUAGGGGAGACUGGAAUUCCUGGUGUAGCGGUGAAAUGCGCAGAUAUCAGGAGGAACACCGAUGGCGAAGGCAGGUCUCUGGGCAUUAACUGACGCUGAGGAGCGAAAGCAUGGGGAGCGAACAGGAUUAGAUACCCUGGUAGUCCAUGCCGUAAACGUUGGGCACUAGGUGUGGGGGACAUUCCACGUUUUCCGCGCCGUAGCUAACGCAUUAAGUGCCCCGCCUGGGGAGUACGGCCGCAAGGCUAAAACUCAAAGGAAUUGACGGGGGCCCGCACAAGCGGCGGAGCAUGCGGAUUAAUUCGAUGCAACGCGAAGAACCUUACCAAGGCUUGACAUGAACCGGAAAGACCUGGAAACAGGUCCCCCACUUGUGGUCGGUUUACAGGUGGUGCAUGGUUGUCGUCAGCUCGUGUCGUGAGAUGUUGGGUUAAGUCCCGCAACGAGCGCAACCCUCGUUCUAUGUUGCCAGCACGUGAUGGUGGGGACUCAUAGGAGACUGCCGGGGUCAACUCGGAGGAAGGUGGGGACGACGUCAAAUCAUCAUGCCCCUUAUGUCUUGGGCUUCACGCAUGCUACAAUGGCCGGUACAAAGGGUUGCGAUACUGUGAGGUGGAGCUAAUCCCAAAAAGCCGGUCUCAGUUCGGAUUGGGGUCUGCAACUCGACCCCAUGAAGUCGGAGUCGCUAGUAAUCGCAGAUCAGCAACGCUGCGGUGAAUACGUUCCCGGGCCUUGUACACACCGCCCGUCAAGUCACGAAAGUUGGUAACACCCGAAGCCGGUGGCCU